AUGUGAGGGCAAUCUGGCUGCAACAUCUGUCACCCCAUUGAUCACCCCGGUUGAUUCGGCUGUUCUGGCUGGCUAGGCGGGUGUUCCCUUCCUCCCUCACCGCU
This 104-nucleotide small RNA is filed under the name Mesocricetus auratus (golden hamster). Its description in RNAcentral is "7SK RNA (ENSMAUG00000006610.1)". It matches the Rfam family "7SK RNA", at positions 3 to 106 of the family's 331-position model. From Rfam's summary of the family: 7SK was discovered as an abundant small nuclear RNA in the mid-70s but a possible function has only recently been suggested. Two independent studies have found that 7SK RNA binds the CDK9/cyclin T complex (known as elongation factor P-TEFb). Lineage: Eukaryota; Metazoa; Chordata; Mammalia; Rodentia; Cricetidae. The record is from RNAcentral.